Tachysurus fulvidraco (yellow catfish) is the source of this 366-nucleotide long non-coding RNA. RefSeq lists it as uncharacterized. The transcript is spliced from 2 exons. The record is from RefSeq and is a predicted model, not a curated record. Lineage: Eukaryota; Metazoa; Chordata; Actinopteri; Siluriformes; Bagridae.
ACUUGUGAUGUGAAAUAUCAUUAAUAAUAAUACUUAGAUUAAUACUUAUGCUAAGAUGUACACUCUUGAGUCACCAUCAAUGCAUGCACCAUGUGUGUGUGUGUGUGUGUGUGUGUGUGUGUGUGUGUGUGUGUGUGUGUGUGUGUGUGUGUGUGUGUGUGUGUGUGUGUGUGUGUGUGUGUGUGUGUGUGUGUGUGUGUGUGUGUGUGUGUGUGUGUGUGUGUGUGUGUGUGUGUGUGUGUGUGUGUGUAUUUUCUUAUAUAUACACAUUUAUUAUAGAAGAUAUUGAAGUAUGGUCCACAGAUUGACUAAUCAGAGUUCAGCUAUUUCUCCAUCAACCAAUAAAAUUUGUUGUUGCUCCAGCAA